GGUCAACAGUCCUUCCAAGCAACCACAGAAUGGACAACAAGAAGCUUCUCAUAGCAAAUAAAAGCCACCCGUAACCCCAAGGCCAACACAGAAGUGACAGUGGCCAUGCACAAGCUGCAGUGAACUAGAAGGUUGGAUUAUUUAUUUAAUAGUUUGUGAAACCUAAUACUAUGUCUGCACAGCCCACAGCAAAGUCAAAUAAUAUACAAAAUCUAUCAAAGGGGAUCCCAGCAUAUUUAUGCUUAUCCACAAGCUGAACUUUCCUCCUCUGCUGCUAGUGUACAAUCAGGGAGUUGUGCCGGAGACACUUACUUCCAGUCCAGGAUUUCAAACAAGCAUAACACCUCGCUAUCGUCGUUGGCUGCAUCUGUGAAGUCCACCUCAAUGCCGAAGACUUCCAGUUGACCGACUUUUCCAUCUACAAGGAGAAGAGCAAGCCAUGCUCUAAUCUCGGAGACAAACGGGAACAGAGGCGAAAUUUGAAGGUAAUCGUAUGCGUGAGCUCUGUAGCCGGGUCCAUCGACAUAAUCGAACCCUGACUUAUCUAUGAUACAAGCCACACGCUCAUCGUCACGUCUUCGGACGAGUAAGGACACAUGAAUGUCUUCCGAGAAGCAAAUUUCAAAGCCUUUCUGCACCGGAAUGGUCAUCUUGUAUGUCUGUGAUGCAAGAUGCAGUUGCAUAGCCUCACAUAUUCCAUCUGGAGGGUUGUAGAUGCGGGAGCGCACGACAGGACCGGGAACAACAGCGGAGUAAACUGAAGACGAGCCCACCCAAAUGUCCACGUAGAAUUCCAGAUCCUCGAACGACAGCUUGGGAGCUGGCAUGGGCCUCUUUCGCUGCUUCCUCACGAAACUAGUGAA
This 863-nucleotide long non-coding RNA is filed under the name Physcomitrium patens. Its description in RNAcentral is "long non-coding RNA (PPAT_LNC008133)". The record is from RNAcentral. Lineage: Eukaryota; Viridiplantae; Streptophyta; Bryopsida; Funariales; Funariaceae.